Molecule: ribosomal RNA, 245 nt
Filed under: uncultured Sphaerotilus sp.
Lineage: Bacteria; Pseudomonadati; Pseudomonadota; Betaproteobacteria; Burkholderiales; Sphaerotilaceae
Description: partial 16S ribosomal RNA
Rfam family: Bacterial small subunit ribosomal RNA
Source: RNAcentral
UACGUAGGGUCCAAGCGUUAUCCGGAAUCACUGGGCGUAAAGCGUGCGCAGGCGGUCUGUUAAGUGAGAUGUUAAAUCGUGUGGCUCAACCAUAUCGAUGCAUCUCAUACUGGCAGAUUAGAGGAAGGCAGAGGCAAGUGGAAUUGGUAGUGUAGCAGUGAAAUGCGUAGAUAUUACCAGGAACACCAAUGGCGAAGGCAGCUUGCUGGGCCUUAUCUGACGCUCAGGCACGAAAGCGUGGGGAG